AGAGUUUGAUCCUGGCUCAGAACGAACGCUGGCGGCGUGCUUAACACAUGCAAGUCGAACGUGAUCCAGAGCUUGCUCUGGUGAAAGUGGCGCACGGGUGAGUAACGCGUGGAUAACCUGCCCUGGUAUCUGGGAUAACAUCUCGAAAGGGGUGCUAAUACCGGAWAAGCCUACGGGAUCUUCGGAUUCUGCAGGAAAAGAAGGCCUCUAUUUAUAAGCUACCGUAUCAGGAUGGGUCCGCGUACCAUUAGCUAGUUGGUGGGGUAAUGGCCUACCAAGGCGACGAUGGUUAGSUGGUCUGAGAGGAUGAUCAGCCACACUGGAACUGAGACACGGUCCAGACUCCUACGGGAGGCAGCAGUGGGGAAUUUUGCGCAAUGGGGGAAACCCUGACGCAGCAACGCCGCGUGAGUGAUGAAGGCUUUCGGGUCGUAAAGCUCUGUCGGAGGGGAAGAAAUGGAACGUGCUAAUAUCACGUUUUCUUGACGGUACCCUCAAAGGAAGCACCGGCUAACUCCGUGCCAGCAGCCGCGGUAAUAC
RNAcentral lists this ribosomal RNA (540 nucleotides) under uncultured Geobacter sp. Its description in RNAcentral is "bacterial SSU rRNA". It matches the Rfam family "Bacterial small subunit ribosomal RNA", at positions 8 to 526 of the family's 1533-position model. RNAcentral also lists the same sequence under 1 other name. The record is from RNAcentral. Lineage: Bacteria; Pseudomonadati; Thermodesulfobacteriota; Desulfuromonadia; Geobacterales; Geobacteraceae.